UUACGGCCAUAUCACGUUGAAGCACCGGUUCUGAUACGAUCACAGAAGUUAAGCAACGUUGCGGCUAGUUAUUAUCGAGAUUGGUAACUGCUUGGAAUACCGAAUGCUGUAUG
Non-coding RNA from Acanthosepion pharaonis, 113 nucleotides. NCBI's taxonomy places the organism in Eukaryota, Metazoa, Mollusca, Cephalopoda, Sepiida, Sepiidae. The record is from the annotation of a GenBank genome assembly.